UCUACGGGACGCAGCAGUGAGGAAUAUUGGUCAAUGGGCGGAAGCCUGAACCAGCCAUGCCGCGUGCAGGACGACGGCCCUACGGGUUGUAAACUGCUUUUCCGGGGGAAGAAUAACCCCCCUGCGGGGGGGGAUGCCGGUACCCCGGGAAUAAGGAUCGGCUAACUCCGUGCCAGCAGCCGCGGUAAUACGGAGGAUCCUAGCGUUAUCCGGAUUUACUGGGUUUAAAGGGUGCGUAGGCGGGCGUUUAAGUCCGCGGUGAAAGUCUGCGGCUCAACCGUAGGAUUGCCGUGGAUACUGGACGUCUUGGAUUCGGUCGGGGCGGGCGGAAUGCGUGGUGUAGCGGUGAAAUGCAUAGAUAUCACGCAGAACGCCGAUAGCGAAGGCAGCUCGCCGGGCCGAAAUCGACGCUGAGGCACGAAAGCGUGGGGAUCAAACAGGAUUAGAUACCCUGGUAGUCCACGCCGUAAACGAUGAUGGCUGGGUGUUGGCGAUACAUAGUCAGCGCCUGAGGGAAACCAUUAAGCCAUCCACCUGGGGAGUACGGCCGCAAGGCUGAAACUCAAAGGAAUUGACGA
RNAcentral lists this ribosomal RNA (578 nucleotides) under uncultured bacterium. RNAcentral's name for it is "bacterial SSU rRNA". It matches the Rfam family "Bacterial small subunit ribosomal RNA", at positions 338 to 916 of the family's 1533-position model. The record is from RNAcentral.